CAGGAGUCUGAGCGCACAGUGGUUGCCUUGGGGAUGCUGAAAGAGGCCGCAUUUCUGGCCAGCCCAGGUGAGCCAAGAAAGAAUACCAGGGGGAAUAAGCAGACUCGCCAGGCCACAGGGAAAGGGCUGCAAAGUUACUCACACAGCUGCUCUAUUUGUCUGUAAGAGGAGCGGUCAGUCUCCACCAGCUCCCACCCGCUGGGUGGCUGGGAUAAAGCGAGUGGGGUGGGAACGUCCUUCAACGCAUCCUCAUCAGAUCCAGUAACUCAUGCUUGAGUAACUCGGAGCUUACUGGGAUGACGUGGGUAGGUGGCCUGCAGCUCUGCUCAGGAGGGUCUUCUCCAGUCAUGUGAGCCUUAGAGAAUGCAUCCUGCCCCAUGUCCUCCGUACGUUUCAACAACUGGGAUCCCACUGGCUCCUGUUACAACCGAGCUAGGACCAACAGUAACAACAGCAAGAACACCAGCACUACCCCCGCGACAGCAUCUCCCUUUUAUAAAGCAUCUCUUACCUGCCCAGCACCCUGAAGCACCGGCCGUGUGCCUGGCACUGGGGACGCACUGAGGAGAGGAUUUCUGUCCCUGCAUGAAGCUUGCUGAUCUGCUGUGGAUGGGCACAUUCGCUCUUUAGGAGAGACAAGGAAAGACCAGGAGCACCCCAGCCACUGAGAGGUGAGGACACCUGGCUCCCGGAGCUGCCACAACCUGGAAUGACCCCCCUCCAAGCCCCCACCAUGCAGGCUCUGUUUCUCCUCUGCUUCUUUCCAUGACGUCUGACAGUCUGGCUGUUCCUGGGCCCCGUGGGGUCUCUGCUUUCCUAUUGCUGCG
Molecule: long non-coding RNA, 827 nt
Filed under: Capra hircus (goat)
Lineage: Eukaryota; Metazoa; Chordata; Mammalia; Artiodactyla; Bovidae
Description: lncRNA (ENSCHIG00000005537.1)
Source: RNAcentral